RNAcentral lists this ribosomal RNA (492 nucleotides) under uncultured bacterium. RNAcentral's name for it is "partial 16S ribosomal RNA". It matches the Rfam family "Bacterial small subunit ribosomal RNA", at positions 29 to 507 of the family's 1533-position model. The record is from RNAcentral.
AGUGAACGCUGGCGGUAGGCCUAACACAUGCAAGUCGAACGGCAGCACAGUAAGAGCUUGCUCUUACGGGUGGCGAGUGGCGGACGGGUGAGGAAUACAUCGGAAUCUACUUUUUCGUGGGGGAGAACGUAGGGAAACUUACGCUAAUACCGCAUACGACCUACGGGUGAAAGCAGGGGAUCUUCGGACCUUGCGCGAUUGAAUGAGCCGAUGUCGGAUUAGCUAGUUGGCGGGGUAAAGGCCCACCAAGGCGACGAUCCGUAGCUGGCCUGAGAGGAUGAUCAGCCACACUGGAACUGAGACACGGUCCAGACUCCUACGGGAGGCAGCAGUGGGGAAUAUUGGACAAUGGGCGCAAGCCUGAUCCAGCCAUACCGCGUGGGUGAAGAAGGCCUUCGGGUUGUAAAGCCCUUUUGUUGGGAAAGAAAAGCAGCAGGUUAAUACCCCGCUGUUCUGACGGUACCCAAAGAAUAAGCACCGGCUAACUUCGUG